RNAcentral lists this transfer-messenger RNA (356 nucleotides) under Candidatus Wildermuthbacteria bacterium. It matches the Rfam family "transfer-messenger RNA". From Rfam's summary of the family: Bacterial tmRNA, also known as 10Sa RNA or SsrA, is named for its dual tRNA and mRNA-like properties. Its role is to liberate the mRNA from a stalled ribosome. Lineage: Bacteria; Candidatus Wildermuthiibacteriota. The record is from RNAcentral.
GGGGGUGAGAUGCUUUGACGAAGGGACGAAGACGAAAAAGGCAGGCCGGGGUUUCUUGAUUCCCCGCACAAAGAUCAAGGGCACAACAACUGCCAACGUAUUUGCCCCGCAGAGGGCGCUUGCGUACGCCUAACAGCUACGCCGUCUAGCCGGUUCAUUCUCGAUAUGCCGGCGAAGGCGUCAUUCAUCGAGAGAGCGAACGGUGCGAAUUCGGCCGGCCGCUUCUGCGCAGAAUUCAAACGGACGGGGGGGUUUUGCCCAAUUUCACCUCCCGAGCCGCAUUCAAUUGGGAUAUGCCUGUAGAGAGUUUCGGACAAGUCGCUUUCGGACGAGGGUUCAACUCCCUCCACCUCCAC